Molecule: ribosomal RNA, 431 nt
Filed under: Lampsilis cardium
Lineage: Eukaryota; Metazoa; Mollusca; Bivalvia; Unionida; Unionidae
Description: partial 28S ribosomal RNA
Source: RNAcentral
UUAGAGGCAAACGGGUGGACCCGCAAUACGUCGACCCGGGGGAUUCAACCAGGCCGUGCGUUCGGGACGCGUGGGGGUUACGCGGAGCUGUAAAGCCCGUGCCUUUGCGCAGGUCUCCGGGCGGACUGGUGCACUUUCCUCGGGUUGAUUGCCACGACCGGCUCUCCGUGCGGCCACAAGCCUUUGCUGGGAAGGUGACCGUCGGCCUCCGCGCCGGCGGUGUUAUAGACCAGCUUGUUCGUUGAGCUCGUCGGAGGGCCGAGGAAGUGUUGCCGUUUCUCGUCCACCCUCCGGCCAUCCUUGCUCGUCACGACUGGGGUGAACUGCUCGUCAGUGCUCUCCCGACCGCGAGCGUAGGAAGGGCUGGUACGGUGCGAGAAAGCUUCGGGCCAGUGGCGAAUCGGUCGGUCCUCCACCCGACCCGUCUUGAA